Molecule: long non-coding RNA, 524 nt
Filed under: Heterocephalus glaber (naked mole-rat)
Lineage: Eukaryota; Metazoa; Chordata; Mammalia; Rodentia; Bathyergidae
Description: lncRNA (ENSHGLG00100038531.1)
Source: RNAcentral
GCAUUCGGCAUUUCCUGUGUGCUGGGCGCUCCACGGGGGCCUGUGCGCUUCCCACAGCUGGGUAUUUCUUGUUGGUUUGUCUCAUAUAGGCCAGGGUGUGGAAUGCUGAAAGAACUGUGCAUGGGAGCAGAUCUGCACCAACGGGUGUGCUCAGAGUCGCACAGUGGGAAGACGGGGCUGCUGUCACCCUUAUUCCUGUGUUAGAGAAGAAACCAAGACUCCGGAGAUCACACAGCCUGUCUGACAGCAGGAGGCAGGCGACAGAACUAGAAACCAGGAUCCAAGCGGUGUGACUGCUGCAGUUCAGGUGUUUUGUUACGGUGAUGGAUAAAAGCAGACUCACCUGGAACCUCCCGAGUGUGGGAAUUACAGGUAUGCACCACCGAGGCCGGCUCAGCAUGGAUUCUAAACUCAUCACCAGGCUGGGAUCCACGCAGAAUGGGGUGAGGAGACCCCGUCGGAGAGUGGGAGCAUCGGGGUGACUGAUGAUGUCUUCCUCACAGGGGACCUGGGGGAGGCUGGAG